AAGUUUAGGUUAAGCAGACCAAGGGCCUUCAAAGCC
This 36-nucleotide transfer RNA is filed under the name Suncus murinus (house shrew). RNAcentral's name for it is "partial tRNA-Trp". Lineage: Eukaryota; Metazoa; Chordata; Mammalia; Eulipotyphla; Soricidae. The record is from RNAcentral.